RNAcentral lists this ribosomal RNA (500 nucleotides) under uncultured bacterium. RNAcentral describes it as "partial 16S ribosomal RNA". It matches the Rfam family "Bacterial small subunit ribosomal RNA", at positions 28 to 507 of the family's 1533-position model. The record is from RNAcentral.
GACGAACGCUGGCGGCGUGCUUAACACAUGCAAGUCGAACGGGUCUGCCCUGUUUUUUGCGGGGUGGGUCAGUGGCGAACGGGUGAGUAACACGUGAGUAACCUGCCCCUCACUUCUGGAUAACCGCUUGAAAGGGUGGCUAAUACGGGGUGUUCUGGCUGUGCCGCAUGGUGUGGCUGGGAAAGAUUCACUUUUGUGGUGUUUUGGUGGGGGAUGGGCUCGCGGCCUAUCAGCUUGUUGGUGGGGUGAUGGCCUGCCAAGGCUUUGACGGGUAGCCGGCCUGAGAGGGUGGGCGGUCGCACUGGGACGGAGAUACGGCCCAGACUCCUGCGGGAGGCAGCAGUGGGGGGUAUUGCACAAUGGGCGGAAGCCUGAUGCAGCGACGUCGCGUGAGGGAUGGAGGCCUUCGGGUUGUGAACCUCUUUCGCCGGUGAAGAAGGUCCUGCUCUUUGUGGUGGGGUUGACGGUAGCCGGGUUAUGAAGCGCCGGCUAACUACGUG